AAAUGUGUUGCUAAAUUUAAAAUAGAAAACUAUCAUCAUUAUUGCCUUAGGUUUUGAUGAGUUUUUUUUCUUCGUGUUUUUCAUUGUAAUUCUGCAAAACAAAUAUGAGACACCCUUCAAAUUACCCAUGAUGGUAAAAUCAAGGUAAGAAGGUUAAAUGAGAAUAUUGAUAUAUGAGUAUGAAUUGUUUAAAAGGAAACCUGAAUAAAAU
RNAcentral lists this long non-coding RNA (211 nucleotides) under Lathyrus oleraceus (garden pea). RNAcentral's name for it is "Pisum sativum (pea) long non-coding RNA (PSAT_LNC013931)". The record is from RNAcentral. Lineage: Eukaryota; Viridiplantae; Streptophyta; Magnoliopsida; Fabales; Fabaceae.